AUUGAACGCUGGCGGCAUGCUUUACACAUGCAAGUCGAACGGUAGAGGGGGCAACCCCUUGAGAGUGGCGAACGGGUGAGUAAUGCAUCGGAACGUGCCCAGUCGUGGGGGAUAACGCAGCGAAAGCUGUGCUAAUACCGCAUACGAUCUCUGGAUGAAAGCGGGGGACCGAAAGGCCUCGCGCGAUUGGAGCGGCCGAUGUCAGAUUAGGUAGUUGGUGGGGUAAAGGCUCACCAAGCCAACGAUCUGUAGCUGGUCUGAGAGGACAACCAGCCACACUGGGACUGAGACACGGCCCAGACUCCUGCGGGAGGCAGCGGUGGGGAAUUUUGGACAAUGGGCGCAAGCCUGAUCCAGCAAUGCCGCGUGCAGGAAGAAGGCCUUCGGGUUGUAAACUGCUUUUGUACGGAACGAAAAGGUCUGGGUUAAUACCCUGGGCACAUGACGGUACCGUAAGAAUAAGCACCGGCUAACUACGUGCCAGCCGCCGCGGUAA
Molecule: ribosomal RNA, 496 nt
Filed under: uncultured bacterium
Lineage: Bacteria
Description: partial 16S ribosomal RNA
Rfam family: Bacterial small subunit ribosomal RNA
Source: RNAcentral